RNAcentral lists this ribosomal RNA (1041 nucleotides) under uncultured archaeon. RNAcentral's name for it is "partial 16S rRNA". It matches the Rfam family "Archaeal small subunit ribosomal RNA", at positions 1 to 961 of the family's 1478-position model. The record is from RNAcentral.
GAGCGAUAACAAUUUCACACAGGAAACAGCUAUGACCCAUGAUUACGAAUUCGAGCUCGGUACCCGGGGAUCCUCUAGAGAUUUUCCGGUUGAUCCUGCCGGAGGUCAUUGCUAUCCGGGUUCGACUAAGCCAUGCGAGUCGAGAGGGAUUAAGCCCUCGGCGAACUGCUCCGUAAUGUGCAGUCAACCUAACCUUAUCAGGGGGAUAAAUUCGGGAAACUGAACUCAAUACCCCAUAGGUAUAAAUUUCUGGAAUGAAUUUAUGCUCAAAGCUACGGCGGAUAAGGAUGGGACUACAUCCUAUCAGGCUGUUGUUAGCGUAGCGAUCUGACAAACCGAUAACAGGUAUGGGCUAUGGAAGUAGGAGCCCAGAGAUGGAUUCUGAGACAUGAAUCCAGGUCUUACGAGACGCAGCAGGCGCGAAAACUUUGCAAUUUGCUAACGCAAGACAAGGGAACCUGGAGUGUUCUUGCUUUGCAAGAACUUUUGCCUUCUGAAAACGGGAAGGUGAAUAAGGGCUGGGGAACACGGGUGCCAGCCACCGCGGUAAUACCCGGAGCCCAAGUGAUGGCCAGAAUUAUUGGGUCUAAAGCGUUCGUAGCCGGUCCAAAAAGUCCUUAGUGAAAUCUUUCAGUCAACUGAAAGGCUUGCUUUGGAUACUUUUGGACUUGAGACUGGGAGAGGGUGGGGAUACUUUCAGGGUAGGGGUAAAAUCCUGUAAUCCUGAGAGGAUCACCUGUGGCGAAGGCGCCCACCUGGAACGGGUCUGACGGUGAGGAACGAAAGCUAGGGGAGCGAUUGGGAUUAGAUACCCCAGUAGUCCUAGCUGUAAACAAUGCCCGCUUGGUGUUGCAGGCUUCUCGGGAGCUUGCAGUGCCGGAGCGUAGGUGUUAAGCGGGCCACCUGGGAAGUACGGUCGCAAGGCUGAAACUUAAGGGAAUUGGCGGGGGAGCACACAAGGGGUGGGCGUUGCGGUUUAAAUGGAUUCAACGCCGGGAAUCGUCGACCUGCAGGCAUGCAAGCUGCACGACCGAGGGGCCC